RNAcentral lists this ribosomal RNA (2817 nucleotides) under Alphaproteobacteria bacterium. RNAcentral's name for it is "bacterial LSU rRNA". It matches the Rfam family "Bacterial large subunit ribosomal RNA". The record is from RNAcentral. Lineage: Bacteria; Pseudomonadati; Pseudomonadota; Alphaproteobacteria.
UGCGGGUUUUCAAGCGUGAGGUAAGGGCAUUUGGUGGAUGCCUUGGCAUGCACAGGCGAUGAAGGACGUGGCACGCUGCGAUAAGCUGUGGUGAGGUGUGAGCAACCUUUGACCCACAGAUUUCCGAAUGGGGAAACCCAGCCUCUUCAUUAAAUUCGAGCUGAUCGGCGUUGAGCAAUCAAUGGUGGUCGGUUGGAGUUUGGUGAUGAGGUUAUCUCAUACUGAAUACAUAGGUAUGAAGAGGCAAACCCGGGGAACUGAAACAUCUCAGUACCUGGAGGAAAGGACAUCAACCGAGACUCCGUUAGUAGUGGCGAGCGAACGCGGACCAGGCCAGUGGCCGAUGAUACGACAGCAGAAGUGGAUGGAAAGCCACACCAUAGCGGGUGAUAGUCCCGUAUGCGACAUCAACUCAUCGGUCCUUGAGUAAGGCGGGACACGUGAAAUCCUGUCUGAAUAUGGGGGGCCCACCCUCCAAGCCUAAGUACUCGUGCAUGACCGAUAGCGAACAAGUACCGUGAGGGAAAGGUGAAAAGCACCCCGAUGAGGGGAGUGAAAUAGUACCUGAAACCGAAUGCCUACAAGCAGUUGGAGCCUCCUUGAGGGGUGACAGCGUACCUCUUGUAUAAUGGGUCAACGACUUAAUAUGUCAUGCAAGCUUAAGCCGUUAGGUGGAGGCGCAGCGAAAGCGAGUCUGAAUAGGGCGCCAUAGUAUGACGUAUUAGACCCGAAACCCGGCGAUCUAGGCAUGACCAGGAUGAAGGUGGGGUAACACCCACUGGAGGUCCGAACCGGUUAACGUUGAAAAGUUAUCGGAUGAGUUGUGUUUAGGGGUGAAAGGCCAAUCAAGCCGGGAAAUAGCUGGUUCUCCGCGAAAACUAUUGAGGUAGUGCCUCAAGUAUUACCACGGGGGGUAGAGCACUGGAUGGGCUAGGGGGUCGCGAGAUCUACCAAACCUAACCAAACUCCGAAUACCCGUGAGUACAGCUUGGGAGACAGACGGUGGGUGCUAAGGUCCAUCGUCGAGAGGGAAACAGCCCUGACCAACAGCUAAGGUCCCCAAAUCGUGUCUAAGUGGGAAAGCAUGUGGAAGUCCCAAAACAACCAGGAGGUUGGCUUAGAAGCAGCCAUCCUUUAAAGAAAGCGUAACAGCUCACUGGUCUAGAUAAGGACUUCUGCGGCGAAGAUGUAACGGGGCUCAAGACACGUACCGAAGCUUUGGGUGUGCAUUUUAUGCACGCGGUAGCGGAGCGUUCCGUAAGCCUGUGAAGCGAUCUGGUAAUGGGUCGUGGAGGUAUCGGAAGUGCGAAUGUUGACAUGAGUAGCGAUAAACAGUGUGAGAUGCACUGUCGCCGAAAGCCCAAGGGUUCCUACGCAAGGCUAAUCCGCGUAGGGUGAGCCGGUCCCUAACACGAGCCCGAAGGGGGUAGUGGAUGGAAAUACGGUUAAUAUUCCGUAGCCUGCUGGUGUGUGACGGAUCUCGUGUGUUGUCUGGACUUAUCGGAUUGUCCGGGCUUCGAAGAGGUUCCAGGAAAUAGCCCCAGCGUAUAGACCGUACCCGAAACCGACACAGGUGGGCUGGUAGAGUAUACCAAGGCGCUUGAGAGAAGGGUGUUGAAGGAACUCGGCAAAUUGCCUCCGUACCUUCGGAAGAAGGAGGCCCCAUGUUAAGGCAACUUUUCAUGGGGGGCACAGGCCAGGGGGUAGCGACUGUUUAACAAAAACACAGGGCUCUGCUAAGUCGGCUUCAAGACGACGUAUAGGGCCUGACGCCUGCCCGGUGCCGGAAGGUUAAGUGGAGGAGUGCAAGCUCCGAAAUGAAGCCCCGGUAAACGGCGGCCGUAACUAUAACGGUCCUAAGGUAGCGAAAUUCCUUGUCGGGUAAGUUCCGACCUGCACGAAUGGCGUAACGACUUCCCCACUGUCUCCAACACCUGCUCAGCGAAAUUGAAUUCCCCGUGAAGAUGCGGGGUUCCCGCGGUUAGACGGAAAGACCCCGUGCACCUUUACUGCAGCUUCAGAGUGGUAUGAGGAAUGAACUGUGUAGAAUAGGUGGGAGGCUUUGAAGCAUGGGCGCCAGCCUGUGUGGAGCCAAUCAGUGAAAUACCACCCUGUUCGUUUCUUAUAUCUAACCUGCGACCAUGAAACUGGUCGAGGGACCCUCUGUGGCGGGUAGUUUGACUGGGGCGGUCGCCUCCUAAAGAGUAACGGAGGCGCGCGAAGGUUGGCUCAGGACGGUUGGAAACCGUCUGUUAGAGUGCAAUGGCAUAAGCCAGCCUGACUGUGAGACCGACAGGUCGAGCAGAGACGAAAGUCGGUCAUAGUGAUCCGGUGGUCCCUCGUGGACGGGCCAUCGCUCAACGGAUAAAAGGUACGCCGGGGAUAACAGGCUGAUAACCCCCAAGAGCUCAUAUCGACGGGGUUGUUUGGCACCUCGAUGUCGGCUCAUCACAUCCUGGGGCUGGAGCAGGUCCCAAGGGUAUGGCUGUUCGCCAUUUAAAGUGGUACGUGAGCUGGGUUCAGAACGUCGUGAGACAGUUUGGUCCCUAUCUGCCGUGGGCGUCGAGAUUUGAGAGGAGUUGUCCCUAGUACGAGAGGACCGGGAUGAACAUACCUCUGGUGGACCUGUCAUCGUGCCAACGGUGCAGCAGGGUAGCUAUGUAUGGACGGGAUAACCGCUGAAAGCAUCUAAGCGGGAAGCCUCCCUCGAGAUUAGAUCUCAUCGAGUCGUGGAAGACCACCACGUUGAUAGGCCGGAUGUGUAAGCGCAGUAAUGCGUUCAGCUAACCGGUCCUAAUUACUCUGGUCGCGCUUGAA